CGUAUAGCGAGGGAGAGGGCAGCGCGAUGCACUUGCAUCACACAGAAAGGCAGAAGAUGCAAAAGAAAAACGACCCAUGCAACACGCAUCUGCCAUCAGCACAGGAGAAACCUGCCAGACGAUGAAAUCCAAGGGUUGAUCAGACCUCGGUGCAGGGCUUUAACUGCCAAGGCAAGGCAAUGCAAGAGAAAUGGAAGACGCUUCAACUUCGUCGCAGUGCAUGAGCUCUGCCUACAACAUUAUCGAAUGCAACAGGCUGCCAUAUGAUCCAGUGGUCACCGUCUGAUUCGUGAGCUUGUCUUUCCUCUCGCCAUCUCCAGUCUUUUUCUUCGCCACAACACCUUUAUCUACAGACAUCUUCGCCAUCUACACAGACAUCUUCGCCAUCUACAUAGACAUCUACAUAUCCAGUCAUCAUAGUCGCCAUCACCAACAUCACCAUCAACAUAGAACUACUUCAUCUCAGCAUUCAUCAUUAUUAUGUAAGCUUACGUUUCAUUCUAUUCGAUAAUGUUGUUUAUCCAUGGUGUUUCCCACAGAUAUUUUUUUUGUUCUUUUAGCAUGCAUUAUGACCUCUUGGCCGUAGCCUCCGGACCGUGCUCUAGCCUCCUCAUAUUCACUGUUAUGAUUUUUUUUUGUAUAACUUGGCAUGGGUCAAGUAUCUUUUUAGGGGCCAGUAUUCCAUAUACAUGCAUAUAUAUAUGCAUCUCUGAUAUAAACUGCAUGAUGCAUGUUUAUGUAUCUCUUUUUUUUAUUAGAGAGAGAACUUUUUCAUACUUAGCAAAGUGUACAUUUUGUAAAAAAAAAAAAAGAAGAUAUUUUCCAAUAUCCAAUAGUUCACUUUUUGCUUGUUAUACUUCCUUCAAUAAUCAUAAUAUACACUAACACAAUAUUUUUCUCGCAAUGUUAACUGUUCCCAUCAUUUGUUAAACAGUAUAUACAUGUAUGUAUAUAUCAUUAUUUCACAUGCUUUUUGUGAUGGCUGAAUGAGUAUUUAUUGAAAUGUUGUCUUUAAAAAAAAAAAAAAUAUGUGCAAGACCUCAUUUCAAUUAAACGUCAUUAUGGAAUACUGGCCCUAUCUGUGGGAAAUACCAUGGAUAACCUUUCGCUGAUUUAUUAUUUUUAUAUAUUGUGGGAUAUUAACAGAAAAUACAAAAAAAAAUCAAAAUAAAA
RNAcentral lists this long non-coding RNA (1173 nucleotides) under Strongylocentrotus purpuratus (purple sea urchin). RNAcentral describes it as "uncharacterized LOC105436795, transcript variant X2". The record is from RNAcentral. Lineage: Eukaryota; Metazoa; Echinodermata; Echinoidea; Camarodonta; Strongylocentrotidae.